AGAGUUUGAUCAUGGCUCAGAACGUACGCUGGCGGCACGCCUAACACAUGCAAGUCGAACGCAGUAGCAAUACUGAGUGGCAAACGGGUGAGUAUAAUGUGGGAAUCUGCCUUUUGGUUUGGAAUAACACGGGGAAACUUGUGCUAAUACCGAAUAAGCCCUUACGGGGAAAGUUUUAAUGCCGAAAGAUGAGCCCGCACUUGAUUAGCUAGUUGGUAAGGUAAAAGCUUACCAAGGCAACGAUCAAUAGCUGUUCUUAGAGGAAGACCAGCCACAUUGGGACUGAGACACGGCCCAGACUCCUACGGGAGGCAGCAGUGGGGAAUCUUGCACAAUGGGGGAAACCCUGAUGCAGCGAUGCCGCGUGAGUGAAGAAGGCCCUUGGGUUGUAAAACUCUUUCGUCGGGGAAGAAAAUGACUGUACCCGAAUAAGAAGGUCCGGCUAACUUCGUGCCAGCAGCCGCGGUAAUACGAAGGGACCUAGCGUAGUUCGGAAUUACUGGGCUUAAAGAGCUCGUAGGUGGUUAAAAAAGUUGAUGGUGAAAUCCCAAGGCUUAACCUUGGAACUGCCAUCAAAACUUUUUAGCUAGAGUGUGAUAGAGGUAAGUGGAAUUUCUAGUGUAGAGGUGAAAUUCGUAGAUAUUAGAAAGAACACCAAAUGCGAAGGCAACUUACUGGGUCACUACUGACACUGAGGAGCGAAAGCAUGGGUAGCGAAGAGGAUUAGAUACCCUCGUAGUCCAUGCCGUAAACGAUGUGUGCUAGACGUUGGAAAUAUAUUUUUCAGUGUCGCAGCGAAAGCAUUAAGCACACCGCCUGGGGAGUACGACCGCAAGGUUAAAACUCAAAUGAAUUGACGGGGACCCGCACAAGCAGUGGAGCAUGUGGUUUAAUUCGAAGAUACGCGCAGAACCUUACCAACGCUUGACAUGUUCGUCGCGAGAUUAAGAGAUUAAUCUUUUCAGUUUGGCUGGACGAAACACAGGUGCUGCAUGGCUGUCGUCAGCU
This 1008-nucleotide ribosomal RNA is filed under the name marine metagenome. RNAcentral describes it as "bacterial SSU rRNA". It matches the Rfam family "Bacterial small subunit ribosomal RNA", at positions 8 to 1060 of the family's 1533-position model. The record is from RNAcentral.